This 29-nucleotide non-coding RNA is filed under the name Plasmodium falciparum 3D7. Lineage: Eukaryota; Apicomplexa; Aconoidasida; Haemosporida; Plasmodiidae. The record is from RNAcentral.
CCUUACUACGAUAAUCCUCUACAAGUUGG